Molecule: long non-coding RNA, 591 nt
Organism: Poeciliopsis prolifica (blackstripe livebearer)
Lineage: Eukaryota; Metazoa; Chordata; Actinopteri; Cyprinodontiformes; Poeciliidae
Exons: 3
Source: RefSeq, a predicted model, not a curated record
GCCCACUCAGUAGGUGGUCUACCUAGCUGAGGCAGCAUGGAGAACAUGGUCAGGAUGGGACAUCGCCGCAGAACAACACCUACAUGGAUUAAGGAUGCCAUAGUUCAUAACCCAUAACUCUCCUGAUGUUGAGAUUGAGGAUGUUUUUUAUUUCCAAUCGACUCAUUUCCUAAUAAUAAUCCAGCAGAUGAAGUUUGGAGCCAGUCUGCAGUGACUCUUCCUUCUACUUUGACUGCUGCAGGUUUCUUGGUUGUCAUAGCUUCAGUUAUUCUGGGAUUUAUCUGCAGAAGACGUCCACAACGUGCCUGUCUAAAAGCUGAAACAUCCAGAUCGUCUGCACAAGGAGAAACUGCCACUGUAACAACAAGGACAUUGAGCCAGAGACUGCUUCCAGAGACGAUUCAAACCACAACCAGGUGGGUGAAGGUUGCACAGGGGCUGAGGAGGAAGAUUUGAUGGCAACCAGGGAAGCUUCCCCAGGGGGUCAAUGUUUUCCUUUCUGAGGUGGAUUUACAGGACAUCAUGGAGGGUGUUCCACCAGGUUCUGUUGUAAUGCAAAUUUGACUCUGAAUUCUGAUGGCGUCCGUUUGU